GUGAACGCUGGCGGUAGGCCUAACCCAUGCAAGUCGAACGGCAGCACAGUAAGAGCUUGCUCUUACGGGUGGCGAGUGGCGGACGGGUGAGGAAUACAUCGGAAUCUACUUUUUCGUGGGGGAUAACGUAGGGAAACUUACGCUAAUACCGCAUACGACCUACGGGUGAAAGCAGGGGAUCUUCGGACCUUGCGCGAUUGAAUGAGCCGAUGUCGGAUUAGCUAGUUGGCGGGGUAAAGGCCCACCAAGGCGACGAUCCGUAGCUGGUCUGAGAGGAUGAUCAGCCACACUGGAACUGAGACACGGUCCAGACUCCUACGGGAGGCAGCAGUGGGGAAUAUUGGACAAUGGGCGCAAGCCUGAUCCAGCCAUACCGCGUGGGUGAAGAAGGCCUUCGGGUUGUAAAGCCCUUUUGUUGGGAAAGAAAAGCAGCAGGUUAAUACCCCGCUGUUCUGACGGUACCCAAAGAAUAAGCAUCGGCUAACUUCGUG
RNAcentral lists this ribosomal RNA (491 nucleotides) under uncultured bacterium. Its description in RNAcentral is "partial 16S ribosomal RNA". It matches the Rfam family "Bacterial small subunit ribosomal RNA", at positions 29 to 507 of the family's 1533-position model. The record is from RNAcentral.